GGCAGAGUGGCGCAGCGGAAGCGUGCUGGGCCCAUAACCCAGAGGUCAUUGGAUCGAAACCAUUCUCUGCUA
Molecule: transfer RNA, 72 nt
Filed under: Gadus morhua (Atlantic cod)
Lineage: Eukaryota; Metazoa; Chordata; Actinopteri; Gadiformes; Gadidae
Description: tRNA-iMet (CAT) (tRNA-iMet-CAT-58-1)
Rfam family: tRNA
About the family: Transfer RNA (tRNA) molecules are approximately 80 nucleotides in length.
Source: Rfam by way of RNAcentral